RNAcentral lists this long non-coding RNA (1102 nucleotides) under Struthio camelus australis. RNAcentral's name for it is "lncRNA (ENSSCUG00000005593.1)". Lineage: Eukaryota; Metazoa; Chordata; Aves; Struthioniformes; Struthionidae. The record is from RNAcentral.
UGGGGUGGAUGAAGAGCAAGUUCAGGCACCUCUCCUGAUCUCCAGGACCUUGCCAAGAUGAUGGAGAGUGGCCUAGCGAUAACAUCCGCCAGCUCCCUCAGCACUCGUGGGUGCAUCCCAGCUGGAAGUAGCCUCAUGUUCACAGGCCCUGGUUCUCCCGGGAGACUUCAACCACCCUGACAUCUGUUGGGGAGACAGCACAGCUAGGCACAAACAGUCGAGGAGGUUCCUGCAGAGGAUUGAGGAUAAUUUCUUGACUCAGGUGGUGGAGACGCCAACGAGGAGAGGUGCACUGCUAGACCUUGUACUAAUGAACAAAGAAGGUCUAGUUGGAGAGGUGAAGGUUGGGGGCAGCCUUGGCUGCAGUGACCAUGAGAUGGUGGAGUUCAGGAUCCUCCGAGGAGGGAGCAGGGCAAUGAGUAGGAUUGCAACGCUGGACUUCAGGAGAGCUGACUUUGGCCUCUUGAGGGACCUACUUAGGGGAAUCUCAUGGGGUAGGGCCCUAGAAGGAAGAGGGGUCCAAGAAAGCUGGUUAAUAUUCAAGCAUCACUUCCUCCAGGCUCAAGAUCGGUGCAUCCCUCUGAGGAAGACGUCGAGCAAAGCGGGCAGGAGACCUGCAUGGAUGAGCAAGGAACUCCUGACAAAACUCCAGCAGAAGAAGGAAGUGUACAGAAUGUGGAAAAGGGGACAGGCCACUGGGGAGGAAUACAGGGACGUUGUCAGAGCGUGCAGGGAUGCGACAAGGAAGGCUAAGGCCCAGGGAUGCCCAGGAAGGCUGGCAAGGGAUGUCAAGGACAACAGGAAGGGGUUCUUCAAAUACAUCCAUAGCAAAAGGAAGACUAGGGAAAACGUGGGCCCGCUGCAGAAUGGGGCGGGUGCCCUGGUGACGAAGGAUACAGAGAAGGCAGAGUUACUGAAUGCUGCCUUUGCUUCAGUCUUCACUGCUAAGGCCAGUCCUCAGGAAUUCCAGACCUUGGAGACAAGAGAGGAAGGCUGGAGAAAGGAAGACUCUCCCUUGGUUGAGGAGGAUCAGGUUAGAGAUCUUUUGUCCAAACUGGACAUCCAUAAAUCCAUGGGCCCNNNNNNNNNNNNNNNNNNNNNN